GACGAACGCUGGCGGCGUGCUUAACACAUGCAAGUCGAACGGAAAGGCCCUGCUUGCUUCGUUCUCGACUGGCUAACGUGUGAGUAACUCGUGGGUGAUCUGCUCUGCCCUUCGUGAUAAGCCUGGGAAACUGGGUCUACUACCGGAUAUGACCUUUCAUGCCGCGUGGGGGGUGGAAAGCUUUUUCGGUGUGGGAUGAGCCUGCGGCGUAUCAGCUUGGUGGUGGGGUAAUGUCCUACCAAGGCGUGGUCGGGUAGCCGGCCUGAGAGGGUGGACGGCCAGAUUGGGACUGAGAUGCGGCCCAGACUCCUACGGGAGGGAGCGGUGGGGAAUAUUGCACAAUGGGCGGAAGCCUAAUGCAGCGACGCCGCGUGGGGGAUGACGGCCUUCGGGUUGUAAACCUCUUUCGACAGGGACGAAGCGUUGGUGACGGUACCUGUAGAAGAAGCACCGGCUAACUACGUG
This 465-nucleotide ribosomal RNA is filed under the name uncultured bacterium. Its description in RNAcentral is "partial 16S ribosomal RNA". It matches the Rfam family "Bacterial small subunit ribosomal RNA", at positions 28 to 507 of the family's 1533-position model. The record is from RNAcentral.